UAGUAGCGCAAUCUGGUUAGUGCACCUGCUUUGGGAGCAGGGGGUUCAGACCCCGCCCUAGGUACCA
This 67-nucleotide transfer RNA is filed under the name Caudoviricetes sp. RNAcentral describes it as "tRNA-Pro". The record is from RNAcentral. Lineage: Duplodnaviria; Heunggongvirae; Uroviricota; Caudoviricetes.